UACGAAGGGGACUAGCGUUGUUCGGAAUUACUGGGCGUAAAGCGUACGUAGGCGGCGGAUUAAGUCGAAUGUUAAAGCCUGAGGCUCAACCUCAGAGAUGCACUCGAUACUGGUCUGCUAGAGGGCGAUAGAGGAAAGCGGAAUUCCCAGUGUAGCGGUGAAAUGCGUAGAUAUUGGGAGGAACAUCAGUAGCGAAGGCGGCUUUCUGGGUCGCACCUGACGCUGAGGUGCGAAAGCGUGGGGAGCAAACGGG
This 253-nucleotide ribosomal RNA is filed under the name uncultured bacterium. RNAcentral's name for it is "partial 16S ribosomal RNA". It matches the Rfam family "Bacterial small subunit ribosomal RNA", at positions 524 to 776 of the family's 1533-position model. The record is from RNAcentral.